This is an RNA transcript of Antechinus flavipes (yellow-footed antechinus), 5426 nucleotides long. RefSeq lists it as uncharacterized. NCBI's taxonomy places the organism in Eukaryota, Metazoa, Chordata, Mammalia, Dasyuromorphia, Dasyuridae. The record is from RefSeq and is a predicted model, not a curated record. The transcript is spliced from 5 exons.
GCCGAGCGAGCGAAGCAGGUGGAGAGGGAGGGGUUGAGAGGCGGGGACUUCGGCGGUCGCGCUGGGCUCUUUGUCUCCAUUAACUCCUUCAUGGCAGCCCCCCUUCAUCCCUUCCUUCAGCCAGCAGGUGUCUGGAAUCAAGGUGUGUGUUUGGGGUGUGUGUGGAAGGACAAUAGACAGAUACUUCCCUUGUCCCCCUCCCCCCCCCUCACACCCAGACUCAGUCGUCAUCACUGGAGCUGAAGACAGGACCAAGGCUGCUCCCCCUUCCCUAAACUCUCCAUCUGUUUGAAUUUCCAGGAGUUCCUGAUCUCUUGCCCCUUCCUCAGGCCUAGCUGGAAACUCGGUUUCCGUAAUCUUCUCAGGGGUUGGAUGUGUGGAGGCUGAACACUGAGACAGAAAUAGCAUUUGUACUGGGGAGGGAAAGCCUUUUCUAUCCCUCACAUACUAAUUGAGGAGGGGGAGGAGGAAUAGGGAUCUCUAGUUUGUGAGUGGGAUUGGAGAAGGAUGUGACUGGGUCUCUGGAAACACUGGGUGGCUGGGGACAGGGUGCCUGGAUCCUGGGUGGUGUGGCCAGGAUUCUCCUGGCACUUCAGGGGGUUGGUAGGCAAGAUGGUGCUAAUCUCUCUCUAAGCUGUGGGGGGGAGUGGAGGGGGAGGGGUCCCAUCUGCCAUCUAAUUCCCUCAGAACCUGCUGGGUGUCAAGAGGCUGGUUGCUAUAGGACACACACAGGAGAGCUGGGAAACGCCUACAGUGUCCCCAGCUGGUGGGGGAGGCAGGUAUCUUAAGAGAAUACAAAAGAAGUGUGAGGAUCGUGGGGGGCUGAAAAUGAGGAACUGGACAGUUGGGUGCUGGAAAAGGCAAGUGGGAGGAGGUGCUGGUAGGUCUGCAAGGCAGGCUGGGAUGUGUCAUUCUCUAUCUGUUGCAGGAUGAAUACUGGAGCUAAAGCUAAAACUGGGGGAAGGGCCCCCCCAGCUGCCCGCCUGCCCAGCUCCACAGUGCCAGGGUCUCUCGGGACUCCUAAAAGAUCAGGGGCAGUGCCGCCACGAGUCGCUGCUGAACCCAGAGCUGUGGUGAAGAGGCCUUCCGGGGAGCCCACGGGACGAGUGGCGCCUGUCCCCAAAGUGGCCACAGCCCUAUCUGGGCCCCCAAGAACCAGCAAGACAGGCCACAGUGUUUCUAGCACAGUGCCCAGGCAGCCUUUGGUGAGGAAAGCAGAACCAGCUCCAGGUGCUGGCCAAGCUUCCAGACCAGGGCCUGAGAGCUCCAGAGUGUCCACGCCAGCCAAGCAAGUCCGUUCUGCCCCGGUGGCAUCUGGAGCUAAGUCUAAGACACCCCUAGCUUCCACCUCCACAGGACGGAACAUUGUGGCCCCAGCAGAAGCCAGGAGAGAUACCAUUCGACCAGCUCAGGGAACACAAAGCUCAAGGGCUGGGCUCCCUGGGUCACGGUUGGUUGGAACCUCAGAACCCGAGCCAGGCUCUCCGCGAACUCCCCUCAAAUCCAGGGCCAAGCCCUCACCCCUGCCCAAAGCCACAGCCCCCAGAAGAACGCUCAGGAGCCCUGGGGACCCUGUCUCCAGCCCAGCCUCUGCAGCCAGGAGGAAGUCCAGUGAAGGUUCUUCCGGGCUUCCUUCUCGCCUCCCUGGACCCACUCGUCGCCUGGACAGCGCCUCUGCUGCCUCCUGGGCCCAGCCCUCUCUUCAGGCCCCGCCCCCGACCUGCCCAGUCCUCAGAUCCAAGGGUCCUUCCUUUUCCUCCACAUCCCCAUCUAGGAGAAAAGACCAGCAGGCUUCACCCCUAGCCACACCCCCUAUACAAGCUCCUCCCCUUUCAUUGCCCACUCCCCCUCUACAAAACGAUUCUCCGCCCACAUCUCCCCAGCAUGCCCCACCCUCCUCUUUAGUCACACCCACAAAACAUGCCCCGCCCCCUCUAACCACAUCUUCUAAACAAGCUCUUCCUUCUCUCUUGGACACAUCCCCUCUACAAGUCAAUUCCUCUCUGUCAAUAUCUCCCCAGGCGGUCCCACCCUCUCCCUUAGCGACACCCGCUAAACAAGCCCCUCCCUCUCCCUUGCCUAUUCCCCCUCCUCAAGUCAAUUCCUCUCUGUCCACAUCUCCCCAGCAGAUCUCCCCCUCUCCCAUAGCCACAUCCACUACACAAGCCCCUCCCUCUCCCUUAGCCACACCCACUAAACAAGCCCCUCCCUCUCCCUUGCCUAUACCCCCUCCUCAAGUCAAUUCCUCUCUGUCCACAUCUCCCCAGCAGAUCUCCCCCUCUCCCAUAGCCAUAUCCACUACACAAGCCCCUCCCUCUCCCUAGCCACACCCACUAAACAAGCCCCUCCCUCUCCCUUGCCUAUACCCCCUCCUCAAGUCAAUUCCUCUCUGUCCACAUCUCCCCAGCAGAUCUCCCCCUCUCCCAUAGCCAUAUCCACUACACAAGCCCCUCCCUCUCCCUUAGCCACACCCACUAAACAAGCCCCUCCCUCUCCCUUGCCUAUACCCCCUCCUCAAGUCAAUUCCUCUCUGUCCACAUCUCCCCAGCAGAUCUCCCCCUCUCCCAUAGCCACAUCCACUACACAAGCCCCUCCCUCUCCCUUAGCCACACCCACUAAACAAGCCCCUCCCUCUCCCUUGCCUAUACCCCCUCCUCAAGUCAAUUCCUCUCUGUCCACAUCUCAGGAGGUCUCUCCCUCUUCUUUAGCCACACUCGUUAAAGAAGACCCUCCUCCCUUAGCCACACCCACUAAGCAUGCUCCUCCCUCUCCCUUAGCCACACCUCCACAAAUCAAUUCUGUGUCCUCAUCUUCCCAAAAGGCCCUACCCUCUCCCUUAGCCACAUCCUCCAUACAAGCUCCUCCACUUUCCUUGGCUACACCCUUUCUACAAACGAAUUCUCUUUCCACAUCUCUCCAGCAGGUCCCAUCUUCUCCUUUAGCCACAUCCACUAAACAAGCCCCUCCUUCUCCCUUAGCCACACCUGCACAAACCAAUUCUCUUUCCACAUCUCCAGAGCAAAUUGCAUCCUCUCCUUUAGCCACAUCCACUCAAGCUCCACCCUCUCCCUUAGCCACACCCCCUAAACAAUCUCCUCCCUCUCCCUUGUCCACACCCCCUCUACAAACUAAUUCUCCGUUCACAUCUCCUCAGCAGACCCCACCCUCUCCCUUAGCCACACCCUCUAAACAAGCUCCUCCCUCUCCCUUGUCUACACCCCCUCUACAAACCAAUUUUCCGUUCACAUCUCCUCAGCAGGCCCCACCCUCUCCCUUAGCCACACCCCCUAAACAAGCUCUUCCCUCUCCUUUGGCCACACCCCUUCUACAAGCGAAUUCCGCUCUGUCUACAUCUCCCCAGCAAGAUUCACCCUUUCCUCUAGCCAUCAGUUCUUCCUCAGCCACAUCACUUCCUCAGGCUCCUCCCUCUCUGACCACAGCCCCUCAAAAGGCCCCACCUUCUCCUUCCUUAGCCACAUGCUCCCUUCAGACCUCAACCUCUCCAGCUAUACUUCCUCCACAGGCUGCCCCCUCUUCUCUGGCCACCUCUAUCCAGGCUGCUCUCACUCCUACCAAUUCCACUCUGCAGAACUCGCUCUCUCCUUUAGUCACACCCUCAGAGCAAAGAGCUGACUCUCUACUGGCCACGCCUCUUAUUCAGGCUCCACCCUCUCCCUUGUCCCCACCCAUUCCCCCUCGGGCCACACCUCAGGAUCCAUCCUUGUCAUUAGCUACGCCUCCUCACCAGGUCCUUGCCCCUUCUCAAAAACUCUCCAUUUUAGCCACACCUUCUCUACAAACCCCUCCCAUUCCUUCAGAUCCACCUUCUCACUUGUUCUCAACCUCUCCUCCCUUGGGUCCUCUUCAGUCCUCUCCUUUUCCUUUGGCCUCCCCCCCUCCUCAAGCUCCUCCCUUCUCUCCAGCCUCCCCCCCUCUGCAGGACCUUCCCUCUCCCAUAGCCACACACUCUCAACAAGCUCCAUCCUUUCACUUGGUUCCGCCCUCCCCGCCCUUGGCCAUCCCACCUCUUCAGACCCCUCCCUUGCACCUGGCCACGCCUUCUCAGGUGCCAUCUUGGGACACACGCCCUUUGCAGCCUCUCUCUGUUCCUCUGGUCUUGCCUCCCCCUCCCUCUCCUCUAACCACGCCUCCUCUUCAGACCCCUCCCUCUCCCCUGGCCACGCCCCUUGGACAGGCCCUUCCCUCUCCCCAACACAUACUUUUGGUGCAAACUCCUCCCUCUCUCCUGCCCAUACCUCUUGUGCCGCCCUCAUCCUCUUCGCUGGUCACCGCCCCUCUGCCGGCCCAGCCCCACCUGCAGAAUCCGCCUCCUGGGGAAUUGUCCCUUCCCGAGUCUGUCCUGUCUUUGGGAGCCUUGGGUGGGGAGCUGUCCAGAAGCCCUUCCAGUACUCUGAGUGGCCCAGACCUUGCUGGACACAGCAGUAGCGCCACAAGUACGCCCGAGGAACUUCGAGCCUAUGACAGCGGCCCUGAGAUAGGGGCCCCAGCUUCGCCCCCACCCGAUCCUGAGCUUGAACUUGCUGCCUGCCAUCCUGCUGCCUGGAGCCGGCCAGGGGCCCCAACCAGGAGCCCCUGUACCACCACCCCUCGACUUACCCAUGGGGUCCCAGGUGAACCACUGCCCUGGUCUCCUUUGGCAGGGCCCCCUGAUGGUCUAUCCACAAUCUAUGAGGCAGAAGCUCCAGAAACAGCAUUUGGACCCCCACACAGAGACGUACAAGAUCAGGGGGAAGAGGAAGACCAGACAGUGGAGAAGAUGCCUUCAGCCCCUCGAGGUCCCAAGCCAGCUAGAGUGGGUGAGCUGCAGCUGGGAGCAUUGCAGGCCAGCGUAGUACAGCAGCUGCUGAGCCGGACGCUGCUGCUGGCUGCAGAGGGACCAGGGGGAGCCAGGCAGGGACCUGGGGGUGGCCGCCCAGCUCUAAGUGAUGCCGAGCUGGGCCGGUGGGCAGAACUGCUCUCACCUCUGGAUGAGUCCCGGGCGAGCAUCACGUCUGUCACUAGCUUCUCCCCAGAUGAUGUUGCCUCGCCACAGGGAGACUGGACUGUAGUGGAGGUGGAGACUUUCCACUGAGAUGCCCUUGUCCCAUCCAUCCAAAGGACCAUUGUGCCCUCUGAACUGAAGGCCCCAGCCUGAUACCUGCCUCUUGCCUGUUUUCCCACCCGCAGUUCUGUAGCAGGGGGAAUUAGGCAAAGGGAUAGUCGUGAUGAUGUUCUAGCUUCCUAACAUCCUUCCAUCUGAGUCCUGGAAGGUCUUGGCCUGACCAGCUUCUUGAUUCCCAUGUAUUGUAUGUAUGUAUGUUGUAGAUUGCCAUUGCUGGUUUGCUCCUGUGACCUCUAGCUUCUGUGGGUGGCGUGCCUGUGUGUUUUCUAAGGCCUUUUUAGUUUGUAAUAAAGAUGAGACAGUG